Long non-coding RNA from Coturnix japonica (Japanese quail), 1701 nucleotides. Lineage: Eukaryota; Metazoa; Chordata; Aves; Galliformes; Phasianidae. The record is from Ensembl.
AUGGAUCCUAAUACCACUGACAGCAAACCUGACUUCCAGAUGUCAGAGGAAGAAGAUUCUAUUCCAAAUGUUAAAAGAUCUCUAAAAAGGAAACUGGUGAAACACAGCACUCCAGUGAACUCAACGUUCUCAAGAAAAACACUGUCUCCCUCAGGUCCAAUGAAUUGGUCAGUUAAGGACCAAGAUAUCAGUAAGAGAUCUUAUGUAUCCCCAGUGCCAAAAUCAACUCUAGGAAGAUCAGUAGCUCAACCAUCACUAGCAAGUGUUGAAACAUACUUCCCUUAUAUGUCUCCAAAGAGGUUUUCAUCAGUAUUUGACUUGCAAGAUUCCAGCAGAGAGAUAAGCCAAAGUUCUCGAGUUGUGUAUUCUAGAAGACGACUUUCCACUGUGUUGGCAUCUGAUGAAUCAAAUGAAGAGGCAACUGAGAAGGCUGUCUCAAGUGUGGAAACUCAAACUCCCACAGAAGCGUCUGAAAAGUCUGCAGUAACUCCCAAGAGUGGAUCUUCACAGUUUUUUGGAAUACCAGGAAUAAAAGAUCCUCCAGUGUUGAAAAAGAAGAAAAUUGAUAAAGCUAUUGUGGUAAUUAUAUUCUCCGUAUACUGUGAAAUAACAUAUAAUUUUGUGCUAAUACUGUGUUUACACAUACUUCUAGUAAUAGAGGAACAUUCUGGUUAUACAACAUCUCUACAACUUUAUCAGUAAGAAUGUAUCAGUAUGAACUGGGUCAUAACUACUUAGAUUCUGUGAAACUACCCCUAACUAGACUAGAUGUAGAUUACUGACCUGGUAUUUAAUUUAGUUUCUGUACUUGCAUGUCAAUAUAUGAAUGCUACUGUAGAAGUAGUUUUUGUGUGUUUUGCUUUUUUUUUUUUUUCCUCUGUAUGAGGAACUUAAAAAUGGGAAUAGAUUAGUGGCUUAAACUGGAAAAAUUCUUCAAUUUCUUUGUUUCAGAUUUAACUAAAAUGAAAAAAAGGAAAAAAAAAAAAAAAAGAAACAAUCUACCGCUUGGCAUGUUUAAUUGAAAUCAAAAUGCUUUAUAGAAAGAAUCAUUGCUAAUGUUGGUUUUGUGUACAAUCCUUCAAUUAGUGUAAGGUAUCCUGGGGAAAGCUUAGAUUAGUAGUCCUUAUACAGGUGGUCUAGUUUGAUUAAUAUGGAGAUUAAAAUCAGAGAUCUCAGCUUCCUGCAGCUUUAAUUAUCAGCAUGGACUCUGUGGAAAGUCCACAAGAAGGAAAAUAAGGCAAUGGAUUUAGAGUCUAAAGGCUGUCAUGUUAGUGUGGAAACCAUCAAGAUCUGUUUUCUUGGAUUUAUUUCUGGGUUUUAUUAUUUAUUUUUUUCCUUCUCUAUAUUGUUCACAAGUAUAUUGAAAGCUCAGGAGUAUCUGCCCACUCUGAGAGUUAAAGCUUCUUAGCUUAAAACAAAUUAAAAUGUUGAGCCCAAAUCUAGCUGUGUGGGGUUGUUUGUUUUUCUUCCUUUUUUUUAAGGCAUAUGAAGUCUAAACAGGUCAGACUGACUAUUUCUUUUUCUAUAACAGAGAAAGAAACAAAGAGAAUGGGUGCUUCGCCAACUUAAAAACAUUGAGGAAGCAACUAAACAUGAAUUAACAAUUGAAGAAGCUUGAUUAAGCAUGUUUGAAAAUAACGCGCUUCGUGCUUAUUUUGUGAGUAGCAGAUUCCAAUAAAGUGCACAUCUGACUAAUCUGCA